GCAGAGCAGAAGAGGCCCAUGGCCCUCGGGGCUGAUAUAUAUUUCUCUCCUAAUAGCGCAGCACGGUUUAAUUAACUAGAUAUUGCACCCACCUGAAGACUGCGGCCCAGCUUAUUGACGCCUCCAUCUGGCUCCUAUAAAGCCGAUAAUGUAGCCAAUAAAUCCCAAGAAGGGGGGGGGGUGCUAAGAGGUAUCCUGCUCUGGCCAGGCUUCCCCAGCGCCCCCUGCAGGCUGCCGGGUGACAGGACUUGGAGACCAGCAUGGGCCCCAGGCACCUGACAGUUUGAGCCGCGCACUUCGACCUCUUCGGGGCUGUGACAGGGUAAAGCCACAGAGAAAGAUGUCCCUCUGCCUGCCUGAGCUCCUGUCCCUCCAGGCCUCUGCAGCACAGCGGAGCCCCAGCUUCCCGCUGUCUGCUGUGCUGGGCCCUGGAGACAACACCAACAGCAGCAGCAGCUCCGAACAAUGGAAAGAGAGACAUGUCGGCGAAGGGCUUUCAGCCCCUGUCCAGCCUUUUGUGCCCGGCUUACUGCGAGGGGACGAGUCCAUUCAGCCUGAGAUUAUCAAAAUCAACUCAGGGCUGUCUCGGGGCAGCUAAACACACUUUGAUUUCAUAAAGACAUAACUGAUCCCACAUGCAAAUUAAUUUCUUAGGUUAGGGACUGUGGUGUAUUUUUUCCCCUCCCUUCUGGUAAUAAAGAGCGUUGUAGAGAAAUGGCAGUUUAGUUACCGUGCACCGUGGGUGCUCAGUGCAGGGGGCAGGCUGGCAGGGGCAACCAGGGAUUUCGCAGACUCCCCUCAGAGGCACAGUGCUCGAGGUCGCCAAGCUAAGGUGGCCACAGAGCCCUCCCCACUCUGCACUGUGAGUACCUGUGGCCACCCCACGGGGCAGUGCCACACCUCCUCCUCCUGGGUCUCUGCCUUUCUUAUUCCUACCACAUUGUCUGCCCUCCCUCCUCGGGCUCCAGCCACAUAGAAAACACCUCUGCUUCCCCCGGAGGAAACCAUACAAACAGAAAAGGCAUCGGCAGAGAGACCCAGGACCAACCCCCGGGUAUGCAGUGCCACACAGAGCUCUUGCCAGCCAAGGGCCAAGCCCCUGCCACCAUGAGGAUGUGGCCUGUGCAGACCUCGGGGUGUGUGGCCUCUGAGUAAUUGCUGCACAAAGGGACACUUGGCAGUGGCCCGCCCGUCUCUGCUCCCACUUCUCGGAGCAUGCUGAGCCCUUCGCCCUGGCUCUGGUCAUCCUUCAUUAGCUCCGGGUCCCCAGGAAGGGACCCAGGCGCCCCCUAAGCUUCCUGUUACCAGAGGCAUGCCUCCCGGCCACACAACAGCCCAGUGGGAC
Cavia porcellus (domestic guinea pig) is the source of this 1345-nucleotide long non-coding RNA. RefSeq lists it as uncharacterized. The transcript has 3 exons. NCBI's taxonomy places the organism in Eukaryota, Metazoa, Chordata, Mammalia, Rodentia, Caviidae. The record is from RefSeq and is a predicted model, not a curated record.